GUUGUAAAGCACUUUUGGCAGGGAAGAAAAGGGCGCUGGUUAAUACCUGGGCGUUGAUGACGGUACCUGCAGAAUAAGCACCGGCUAACUACGUGCCAGCAGCCGCGGGUAAUACGUAGGGUGCAAGCGUUAAUCGGAAUUACUGGGCGUAAAGGGUGCGUCGGCGGUUUGGCAAGAAAGGUGUGAAAUCCCAGGGCUUAACCUUGGAACUGCACUUUUAACUGCCAGGCUAGAGUACGUCAGAGGGGGGUAGAAUUCCACGUGUAGCAGUGAAAUGCGUAGAGAUGUNGGAGNGAAUACCGANUGGNCGAAGGCAGCCCCCUGGGAUGAUACUGACGCUCAGGCACGAAAGCGUGGGGAGCAAACAGGAUUAAAUACCCUGGUAGUCCACGCCCUAAACGAUGUCAACUAGCUGUUGGGGCCGUUAGGCUUUAGUAGCGCAGCUAACGCGUGAAGUUGACCGCCUGGGGAGUACGGUCGCAAGAUUAAAACUCAAAGGAAUUGACGGGGACCCGCACAAGCGGUGGAUGAUGUGGAUUAAUUCGAUGCAACGCGAAAAACCUUACCUACCCUUGACAUGUCUGGAAGGCCGAAGAGAUUUGGCUGUGCUCGCAAGAGAACCGGAACACAGGUGCUGNCAUGGNCUGUCGUNNCAGCUCNGUGNNUCGUNGAGAUGUUGGGUUAAGUCCCGCAACGAGCGCAACCCUUGUCAUUAGUUGCUACGAAAGGGCACUCUAGUGAGACUGCCGGUGACAAACCGGAGGAAGGUGGGGAUGACGUCAAGUCCUCAUGGCCCUUAUGGGUAGGGCUUCACACGUCAUACAAUGGUCGGGACAGAGGGUUGCCAACCCGCGAGGGGGAGCCAAUCUCAGAAACCCGAUCGUAGUCCGGAUUGCAGGCUGCAACUCGCCUGCAUGAAGUCGGAAUCGCUAGUAAUCGCGGAUCAGCAUGUCGCGGUGAAUACGUUUCCCCGGGUCUUGUAACACACCGCCCGUCACACCAUGGGAGUGGGUUUUCACCAGAAAGUAGGUAGCCCUAAACCGUAAAGGGGGGCGCUUUACCACGGUGGGAUUUCAUGACCUGGGGUGAAGUCGUAACAAAGGUUACCCAU
This 1111-nucleotide ribosomal RNA is filed under the name uncultured Alcaligenes sp. Its description in RNAcentral is "bacterial SSU rRNA". It matches the Rfam family "Bacterial small subunit ribosomal RNA", at positions 422 to 1503 of the family's 1533-position model. The record is from RNAcentral. Lineage: Bacteria; Pseudomonadati; Pseudomonadota; Betaproteobacteria; Burkholderiales; Alcaligenaceae.